UACGGAGGAUGCGAGCGUUAUCCGGAUUUAUUGGGUUUAAAGGGUGCGUAGGCGGGUUGUUAAGUCAGUUGUGAAAGUUUGCGGCUCAACCGUAAAAUUGCAGUUGAUACUGGCAUCCUUGAGUACAGUAGAGGUAGGCGGAAUUCGUGGUGUAGCGGUGAAAUGCUUAGAUAUCACGAAGAACUCCGAUUGCGAAGGCAGCCUGCUGGACUGUAACUGACGCUGAUGCUCGAAAGUGUGGGUAUCAAACAGG
RNAcentral lists this ribosomal RNA (253 nucleotides) under uncultured bacterium. RNAcentral's name for it is "partial 16S ribosomal RNA". It matches the Rfam family "Bacterial small subunit ribosomal RNA", at positions 524 to 776 of the family's 1533-position model. The record is from RNAcentral.